Long non-coding RNA from Scylla paramamosain (green mud crab), 587 nucleotides. RefSeq lists it as uncharacterized. The transcript is spliced from 3 exons. The record is from RefSeq and is a predicted model, not a curated record. Lineage: Eukaryota; Metazoa; Arthropoda; Malacostraca; Decapoda; Portunidae.
AGUUCCAUGAACUCUUUGGAAGGUGUUCAAAACUAACACAGCAGCGCUCCGGUCACGUCGAGCCAGUCAUUCGCUGGGCUCAGUGGUGCAGGAUCGUCUCUUCUGAGGGCUGAGAGCUGAUAAGUGUGAAGCGUACGGUUUCCACUUCACCAGGCCACAAGAAUCUCUACCAACACCAACUUCUGCAGUACUGGCAUCUGCUUAUCAAAUAGUGGUGCCUUAUCACGAAUGACGUACUCCAUUGCAAUUAGGGAGUCAAGUUUCAUGAGGAAGAGAGGCCGGGCGUCACUACAUUCCAGCCUGAGUGGUGUUGAGAAGUACCGUCACAAGCAGAGGGCCUGGUACAAGAGUUUUCAUUGCAGUUAAGGAAGCCAAGUUGCAGCAAGAAGAAUGCAGCUAUCCAACAUCUGAACAAUAUAUGAGUAUGGCAAAUGCUGUUUUUACAUAAUUUCCUGCCAUCCUGAGAAAUAGUGACCUAGAGGAGCAUGAAUUGCAGCUGCAAUGAAAAUUGUGCAUUCAGUGCAAGUUUCAGAAUUUAAGGAAGAGGCAGGAUUCCUCAUUGACUGAAGUGACAUCAAGGAAAAAGA